Molecule: ribosomal RNA, 405 nt
Filed under: uncultured bacterium
Lineage: Bacteria
Description: partial 16S ribosomal RNA
Rfam family: Bacterial small subunit ribosomal RNA
Source: RNAcentral
AUUGAACGCUGCGGCAGGCCUAACACAUGCAAGUCGAGCGAGCGGCGGACGGGUGCGUAAUGCUUAGGAAUCUGCCUAUUAGUGGGGGACAACAUCUCGAAAGGGAUGCUAAUACCGCAUACUAAUAGAUGCGCCUAAGGCGGAUUAGCUAGUUGGUGGGGUAAAGGCCUACCAAGGCGUAGAACUGUAGCGGGGCUGGGAGGAUGAUCCGCCACACUGGGACUGGGGCAAGGGCCAGACUCCCUCGGGAGGCAGCAGUGGGGGAUAUUGGACAAAGGGGGGAACCCUGGUCGAGCCAUGCCGCGUGUGUGAAGGAGGCCUUAUGGUUGGAAAGCACUUUAAGCGAGGAGGCGUUACUCGCAGAAGAAGCACCGGCUAACUCUGUGCCAGCAGCCGCGGUAAUUC